RNAcentral lists this long non-coding RNA (1008 nucleotides) under Zonotrichia albicollis (white-throated sparrow). Its description in RNAcentral is "lncRNA (ENSZALG00000006532.1)". The record is from RNAcentral. Lineage: Eukaryota; Metazoa; Chordata; Aves; Passeriformes; Passerellidae.
CUGAGCAGGAAGCAAAUAGUCUCACAGUACUCAGAUGGACCUGGAGACAUUUAUGAGCUAGACUGUAUGAUGUGGUUGCCUGGAAUAGCAGGAGGCUGGACUGUACAUCCUAGGAAGCCAGCUCCCAUCCAGUGUCUAUAAGUUUUUUCAGCUGUUGCUUGUGUGCGUGUCUCUGAGUGAGCAGGCAGUCCCUCCACUGCUGUGUGAUGCGGAUGCGGCGAAGGCAGCAAAUCCUCCGGCUGUGCGUGCCCUCCCUGGACUGCUGCUCCAUCCCCGCCUGUCGUGCUCGCGCGUGUGCAUGGCUGGGAGCGCUGCCUAGGUGCGGCCGGGAAUGAGCCAGCUGCGGGGCAGGGAACGCUACAGCUCCGAGGGGUGACACCAGUGGGGGACACCCCCCGCACAAACACAUCUGCAGGGCUGCAAGUUGCUCGAGGACCGGGGUCUUUUGUGCCUCCACUUCGUCUCUGUCAUGCCCCGUAUGGAAGCUGGGAGCAGUCACCCCUCCAGAAGCAGAAUAUGUCUGGGGCUAAUGUUUAGGAUCCAGAAGGAUGGUAUGCCACUGUGUGGGCUGAGUUUAGAAGGCGAAGUCGUUCGCAAUGAAUCCAUGGCAGCUUCGAUCGAGCGGUGUGCUGGAGCACCUACUCACAGGCCACUCCUUCAUGUGACUGAACAGAGACCUUUCCCAGCAAUCGCCAAGGAGAGCAGAGCCCUGGAUUUACCUCCCGCGCAGCCGGGCACCCCCAGCGCAGGCACUGCGAGAUUCCAGUGACAGAUGGAUCUCUCUCAUGCACACUUGCUCUUUCCUUCUCUGUAUUUUUGUUUUCGACAUGUUUGAUCCGAAGCUCUGAAGCUUCUCAGAGGGAACCCAGGAAAGAAGGAAGAGAAGGAGUAGAAACCAAGGGAGCGUGAGCGGCACGGGAGGCAGCCCUGCCUUGUUCUUCCAAAUCACACUGUGGAGGGGCGGGGGAAGACUAGAGGGGGAGGACUUGGGUUUGUUUUGGGGUGGGU